This 253-nucleotide ribosomal RNA is filed under the name uncultured bacterium. RNAcentral describes it as "partial 16S ribosomal RNA". It matches the Rfam family "Bacterial small subunit ribosomal RNA", at positions 524 to 776 of the family's 1533-position model. The record is from RNAcentral.
UCCGAAAGGGGCUAGCGUUGUUCGGAAUUACUGGGCGUAAAGCGCACGUAGGCGGCCUUGUAAGAUGGGGGUGAAAUCCCCGGGCUCAACCCGGGAACUGCCUUCAUGACUGCAAAGCUAGAGGAUGCGAGAGGUUAGCGGAAUUCCGAGUGUAGAGGUGAAAUUCGUAGAUAUUCGGAAGAACACCAGUGGCGAAGGCGACUAACUGGCGCAUUUCUGACGCUGAGGUGCGAAAGCGUGGGGAGAAAACAGG